RNAcentral lists this ribosomal RNA (267 nucleotides) under uncultured bacterium. RNAcentral describes it as "partial 16S ribosomal RNA". It matches the Rfam family "Bacterial small subunit ribosomal RNA", at positions 1234 to 1500 of the family's 1533-position model. The record is from RNAcentral.
CGGCCAACAAAGAGAGGCAAGACCGCGAGGUGGAGCAAAUCUCAAAAAGCCGUCCCAGUUCGGAUCGCAGGCUGCAACCCGCCUGCGUGAAGUUGGAAUCGCUAGUAAUCGCGGAUCAGCAUGCCGCGGUGAAUACGUUCCCGGGCCUUGUACACACCGCCCGUCACACCAUGAGAGUCGGGAACACCCGAAGUCCGUAGCCUAACCGCAAGGGGGGCGCGGCCGAAGGUGGGUUCGAUAAUUGGGGUGAAGUCGUAACAAGGUACC